UCCGGCUUGUCACCGGGAGUCUUGUUAGAGUGCCCAACUGAAUGAUGGCAACUAACAACAGGGGUUGCGCUCGUUGCCGGACUUAACCGAACAUCCCACGACACGAGCUGACGACAGCCAUGCAGCACCUGUCACCAGGCUUCCCCGUGAGGGGACACCACCUACUUUCAUAGGUGUUCCUGGGAUGUCAAGGCCAGGUAAGGUUUUUCGCGUUGCAUCGAAUUAAUCCACAUAAUCCACCGCUUGUGCGGGUCCCCGUCAAUUCCUUUGAGUUUUAGCCUUGCGGCCGUACUCCCCAGGCGGAGUGCUUAAUGCGUUAGCUGCGGCACAGAGAGGGUUGAAGACCUCCCCACACCUAGCACUCAACGUUUACGGCUGGGACUAC
This 385-nucleotide unclassified non-coding RNA is filed under the name uncultured bacterium. RNAcentral describes it as "contains 16S-23S intergenic spacer region". The record is from RNAcentral.